Mytilus californianus (California mussel) is the source of this 1309-nucleotide long non-coding RNA. RefSeq lists it as uncharacterized. Lineage: Eukaryota; Metazoa; Mollusca; Bivalvia; Mytilida; Mytilidae. The transcript is spliced from 4 exons. The record is from RefSeq and is a predicted model, not a curated record.
UUCAUUAAAUGUAAAAUUCGCGUGAUGUAAAUGUACAGUCCUUCUGCAAAUUGUCAGUGCUAUUGAAAACAUCGCUGUUAUAAGCAGAGUCGUUCUUGGAGUAUCGUUAUACAGUACAGAAAUGCUUAGUGGGUUGUUCACGUCUGAUGACAAUUUGCUAGACUCGAAACUUUCACAAUUGGUAACAGUUUUUAGAAGUUGAAUGGAUCAAAUACAAUAACUACACUUCCAUUUCGACAAGUAAAACGACCGAUAUGUUUAUCAGAUUGAAAGCAAACUGGAUUUUCCUGCAUGAAAAUGAUAUUUGCAAAUCUGGACCCCCAUCAGGAUCAAGUGAAAAAAAUAAAUGAAUUGUUGUUGGGUUCAGAAAUGGAAAGGCCAAAAAUAAAUCUAAGUAUGAUGUUUCGCUACUUAAAGGUCUACAACUAAACAACGAUAAAAGCUUAAAUCGUGAAAUCGAACUUGACAUUCAUUUAGUCACAGGAAACAACAUAUCUCAACUUGAAAUAUUUCGUCAAAGCGUUUUCCAGUUAUUGCACGGACAACCCUCUAAGUAUCACUUUUCGCUACUUAAAAGUCUACUAGAACUCAACAACGAUAAAAGCUAAAAAAGCGUGUUCAAGUUAUUGCACGGAAACUGUUUAGUAGCCGCCCGCCCGGCCUCCAGCCCGACUGCCCUGCCGAAUAUAACUGGUAACUAACGGUACAAAAUGCACACUAAAAAUUUAUGGUUAACUCUAAUCAUUGGAUAUGGAACCGUGGCAUUUGGUCAACAUAAUCAACUCUUCCCAGAUUUACAGGCAUGUUAUGAAGAACACAGGCAACUGUUGACCAGGGUAGAGGCACUCGAAAGGAGUACAGUCCAACUGCAAAAUCACGUAAUUCAGUUGGAAACUAAUGCUGAACCAGUUGCAUUUCAAGUACAUCUUUCAACGGACCAGGCUUUGUACUCGAACAGUGCUACAAUUAAGUUUGAUAAUGUUUUCUUAAUAACGGCAGUGGGUACAAUCCAGCAACAGGAAAGUUCACGUGUCUACGUGAUGGCGUUAACAGCUUUACAUGAACCAUCACAAUACCACCACGGGAAGUGUGCCACACCAUGUUCAUUAUUGAUUCAGAACCGAUUAUGAGAGGUUAUCUUGAUCUUCUAAGAACGACCAAUGAUUUUGCAGCAAACAAAAAGUGUUGUCGUUGAAAUGAAAAAUGGAAGUGAAGCUUGGAUCGAAGUAAACUAUUUGUGAACGUAUGCAUCGGGUACACAUCAUGAAGUUACCAUGUUCAAUGGAUUUAAAAUUUAAACAACCUAUUA